GGAAAAACAUAACAGGUUAUCAAGUCAUUAUAUCUAUUUUUAAAAAGGCAAUUACUGGCAAGAGGAUGUUGAAAAAUUAGUUUCAGAUGUCUAGUGCCAAAGAAGUGUGAAAAUUAGUUCACAGUACUUUACAAAUGGUCCUUAGUCUUCCUAGUAAAGAUGCCUAUACUUCAAGUUGAUACCAACACCAUUGCUAAUGCUGCUAUACCAAAUGGAGAAGCAGAACUUAAUGCUACUCUUCAAACCAGUAAGGAGUGCUAAGUUCACUUAAACCUUAGCAGUACAAUUUCAAAUAAUAACUAAUCCUUUAAGCUUCUGCAGUUUUGUUGUAUUUUAUGAAUGAGGCUAGAUGUGAGCUUCAGGUUUAUCAAGCAUUUUGCUUGUGCCAAGUGCUCUUCCAGGGGUUCUGCUGCUGUUGCUGACAUCUACUGCAGCGCUCCUGUUCUAGCCCUAGUGUCCCCCGCUAGCCAUGGGCUCACAAAAAUCGUUCUUUUGGAUGCUUUGGAAAUUGCUUUGCAAGUCCCCCUUCAGCUAAACAAAGCAUUUUUACAUCCUCAGCACAGCUGAAAAACCUUUUGGAAAGCACAACGCUGCCGAAGGGUCCUGAGGAAGGAUAUGACAAUGUUCUGCGAGAUGUGGAAUCUGGUAGACUGCCUGCUUCCAGUGACCUGGGGACCCUGUCAGGUACAGUGAUGAGUUCAGUUUUAUCAAGGUCCAUAGCAAACUUCAGGUAGAUAGAUUAAAAUCUUGGAUCGAAAGCUUUGUCCAUACUGGGAGUUAACUUUUCUGUGUUGUAGUGGGCAGCACAGAAAACUUUAGUUCUGGCUUUAUUUUCUAAUUGUCACUUAAUGUUGAAAUAUUACUAUUUUUCUUCUACACCUGAAAGAGAAGUUUAAUAUGCCAGGGAUGUAGCAUAUAUCUUUGCACUGUUCUUGCGCUCUACUUUUCAGGACAGUUGUCAUCAGCCUAGUCUCAUCCUCUUUCUAGCUGUAAAUCUAAAUGCACUGUAAUUUUAUUGUCAUGGUCUUACAUGCCUUCACUUCUAUUCUGCAGAAUUAGCCACAAGUUUAAAAGUCCCCAAAAACAUGAUAUUCACCUUAUUUCAAUGUAACAUUCUACUGCAUUUUUAUUAUUUUUACUUUUAAUUUUCAUUUGCAGCCCCAAGAGCUAAAACCCCUCACAUUUUAAGUGAAAUAGUUGAGGAUUUAUAAUGUAAAAGUUGUGGUCUCCUGUGCCUGCAGGAGGUGAGACUUUCUCAGAAGUACUAGAAAUUGCUAAAAUGUAGAAAAAUUGAGUUUAGUAAAGUUCUGGCUGGUUUUCUUUAGUAAGAUGAACUGUUAGGCAAUAUGUACAGGGUUGUUAAGCUGGAUGUAGGAGAGUUCAGUUUCAAAAGAGGCUAUAGGGUACAGCUGUGUGCUAACUGAUUAUUCAUUAAAAGCCAAUUCCAGUUUCACUGUUCUGACUGUCCUCAUGAGAGCUACAGGAGAAACAAAUGGGAGAAUACAUUUUUAAAAGCAGAUAUCUGCAACCUGACAUUGGGAAUACAGAUGGUUACACAUGCUGGGCA
Anser brachyrhynchus (Pink-footed goose) is the source of this 1567-nucleotide long non-coding RNA. NCBI's taxonomy places the organism in Eukaryota, Metazoa, Chordata, Aves, Anseriformes, Anatidae. The record is from Ensembl.